Molecule: non-coding RNA, 46 nt
Filed under: Trichobilharzia regenti
Lineage: Eukaryota; Metazoa; Platyhelminthes; Trematoda; Strigeidida; Schistosomatidae
Source: RNAcentral
GUACUGCUGAAGAGUCCCAAACUAGGACGAAACGGUUGUCCAGUAC